UGGUUUACCGCUCCGGUGCCCUAUUGGUUAGAGCGUCCGCCUCGGAAGAGGGAGGUUGUGGGUUCGAUCCCCGGCUGAGUCAU
Molecule: non-coding RNA, 83 nt
Organism: Potamilus streckersoni
Lineage: Eukaryota; Metazoa; Mollusca; Bivalvia; Unionida; Unionidae
Source: the annotation of a GenBank genome assembly